Long non-coding RNA from Acanthopagrus latus (yellowfin seabream), 1616 nucleotides. RefSeq lists it as uncharacterized. Lineage: Eukaryota; Metazoa; Chordata; Actinopteri; Spariformes; Sparidae. The transcript is spliced from 3 exons. The record is from RefSeq and is a predicted model, not a curated record.
AAGCGUCUGGGGCUUUGGGAGCGUCUGAAGCGAUGCGAAUAAAGUUGAAAAUAUCAAACUUUUCAGGCGGCAUCGCGCUGCGACAUCCAAUCAGACCAACAUGGAGAAAAAGCUAAUUGUAGCUGUGUGUGGGCACCCGGCGCUCUACGACACUGCUGCUGUCUUGUACUGGGAAAAAAUAAAAAAAGAGGAAGCGUGGGUGAAGGUCAGGGAGGAGGCGGGACUCCCUGCCUGAGGUACCACUGGAACUGGUCGUCAUCCAGACGGAGCUCCUGGAGGAGGCAGUGAAAUUCCCCCAGCUCUGUGCGUCUCCGGCAGAUUUCAUGAACCGGCGUUUCUGGGACUUGUACAGCAGAACCUGCGGAGGUCUCCUGCUGCCAGCCCCCGAAUGAAGUGAACCCAAAAUGAUGUGACAAGCUGUGAUGAGCUCGGGGAGGCGAGCUUUGGGCCAGAGGAGUGGAAGAAGGGAUUAGAUACAGGGCGAAGAAGUGAAGGGAUUACAUCAAUAUCAUAAAAUCUAGUAUAACAUGAUUUACAUUUUCUUGUGAACAAGCAUGAAUAAUUAAUGUUUCUGCAUAUAGGAAUCAACAAAACAUCUGUGUGUUCACUUAAUGUGGAUUUCUCUGUUGUGUUAAAACCUUCACAACAAUUUUUGCAUUUGGUUGUGACUGAGUAGUGUUUUGCAUAAUUCAACAUAAAUGUAUUACCAUAUAUUAUUUUAUUCUAUCAGAGCCGACAUUGCCAAUAUGCACAAGUGGAAAUGUGGUUAAGUAGAGUUUAUCAUAAUCACCGGCUGGAGGCCAUGGGGUCGGACAUUAAAACACUUCCAGCUGACUACUUUCCUACAGAUUCUAGUCGAGUCACCAUCAUUUUUUUAGAUCCUGGUUGAUUUUGAUUUUAACUUUUAAAUGAAUGUAAGAUUUGUCUCUGUUCCUCAUGAUAAAGAGCCAGUUUUUUAAGAUAAUUGAUUGUUGGGUCAAAUUCACAAGUCACAAGUACUGUUGUUGCCGGCCCGGUCCAAGCGACCCGAAGCAUCAGUAUUUGAUGAGUUGAAUGAGACUUUACGACCUGACUUUCUUACUGACUGGACCUUUAAAGCACCUGAACUAAAUAAACAACACGAGCACUCUCACAUUAAUACACAAUAUCCUGUACAUAUGCAUUUGUUGUCGCUCUGAUUAUGUUUCCAUUGUCGCUGGAUUCUAUUGGAUGGUGCUUAUUUAAACUUAUUUUGGGAAGUUCACAUUUCAUGGGUUUGACACCCAUGCCGGGAUUAUGACUCUGCACUGUGCUGAAUCAGAUAUGGUUGUGGUUGAAGUGUUCUGAAUUCAGGGCUUGGCUGUUCUCAGCCGCUGUGUAAACAAUGUUUACAAAAGUCUCAGUGAUCCUUGUUGUCCCAGAAUCAUGAGAGCUGGAUGCAGGUACACACAGAGGCCGGGAAGGUUUCUGCGCUCACACAAUAGUGUGGUAAUAUGAUGUUUAUUUCCAUCUUGAGCUCAUUUCGGUCAUUGAAGUGUUGUUUUCUGAACAAUCAGCCAACAUUAUUGGUGGCAAACUGGCAGUUUUCACAGUGUUUUCAGAGCACCAGGUUCUGAUCACAUGUUUAGAAAGUUAAG